GUGCCUAACACAUGCAAGUCGAACGCGAGGCGCCCUUUCGGGGGCGUAGUAGAGUGGCGCACGGGUGAGUAACACGUAGACAACCUGCCUUCGAGCCCGGGAUAACCUUUCGAAAGAAGGGCUAAUACCGGAUAACACUCCGAAUCGCAUGAUUUGGGGUUGAAAGGCUUGCUACUCGAAGAGGGGUCUGCGGGACAUUAGCUAGUUGGUGGGGUAACGGCCUACCAAGGCUCUGAUGUCUAGCGGGUCUGAGAGGAUGAUCCGCCACACUGGAACUGAGACACGGUCCAGA
RNAcentral lists this ribosomal RNA (292 nucleotides) under uncultured bacterium. RNAcentral's name for it is "partial 16S ribosomal RNA". It matches the Rfam family "Bacterial small subunit ribosomal RNA", at positions 44 to 335 of the family's 1533-position model. The record is from RNAcentral.